This 478-nucleotide ribosomal RNA is filed under the name uncultured bacterium. RNAcentral's name for it is "partial 16S ribosomal RNA". It matches the Rfam family "Bacterial small subunit ribosomal RNA", at positions 28 to 507 of the family's 1533-position model. The record is from RNAcentral.
GAUGAACGCUGGCGGCGUGCUUAACACAUGCAAGUCGAACGGGAAACCUUUUAUUGAAGCUUCGGCAGAUUUAGCUGGUUUCUAGUGGCGGACGGGUGAGUAACGCGUGGGUAACCUGCCUUAUACAGGGGGAUAACAACCAGAAAUGGUUGCUAAUACCGCAUAAGCGCACAGGACCGCAUGGUCCGGUGGGAAAAACUCCGGUGGUAUAAGAUGGACCCGCGUUGGAUUAGCUAGUUGGCAGGGUAACGGCCUACCAAGGCGACGAUCCAUAGCCGGCCUGAGAGGGUGAACGGCCACAUUGGGACUGAGACACGGCCCAGACUCCUACGGGAGGCAGCAGUGGGGAAUAUUGCACAAUGGGGGAAACCCUGAUGCAGCGACGCCGCGUGAAGGAAGAAGUAUCUCGGGAUGUAAACUUCUAUCAGCAGGGAAGAUAGUGACGGUACCUGACUAAGAAGCCCCGGCUAACUACGUG